RNAcentral lists this ribosomal RNA (478 nucleotides) under Acrapex rungwe. Its description in RNAcentral is "partial 16S ribosomal RNA". The record is from RNAcentral. Lineage: Eukaryota; Metazoa; Arthropoda; Insecta; Lepidoptera; Noctuidae.
AUGUCUUUUAGAAAAUAAUUUAAAGUCUAAUCUGCCCACUGAUUUGUUAAUUAAAGGGCUGCAGUAUAUUGACUGUACAAAGGUAGCAUAAUCAUUAGUCAUUUAAUUGAUGACUUGUAUGAAAGAUUGGAUGAAAUAUGAACUGUCUCUUAUUUAAAUAUAAAAUUUAAUUUUUUUAUCAAAAAGUUAAAAUGGUUUAAAAAGACGAGAAGACCCUAUAGAGUUUUAUUAAUAUAUUAAUUAAGAUUAUAUGUAAAAUAAAUUUAAAAUUAAAUUAUUAAUUUUAUUGGGGUGAUAAAAAAAUAUAUUUAACUUUUUUUAAAGUAAAACAUUUAUAAGUGGUUAAAUGAUCCAAUAAUGUUGAUUAUAAGAAUAAAUUACCUUAGGGAUAACAGCGUAAUUUUUUUUUUUAGUUCAAAUAAAAAAAAGAGUUUGCGACCUCGAUGUUGGAUUAAGAUAAAAUUUAAAUGCAGAAGUU